GGAUAUGUCUAGGUGUGUGUUUCUCUUCCCUCUUAAACUGAGAUAUAAUUCACAUACCGAAAAAUUUACCCAUUUAAAUUGUACAGUUCAACAUUCUUUAGUAUACUCAGAGUUGUGUAACCAUCAUUACAAUCUAAUUUUAAAAACAUUUCAUUUCCCCCAAAAGAAAUCUUCCAUCCCUUCUCUUCUUGCCCAGUCUGUGUCUACAAAUAUACCUAUUCUGGAUAUUUCAUCUAAAUGGAAUCCACCUACAUUUGGAUACAAUCUUAAAAUUAUGCUAUUUAGGUUAUGUUGUACUUCUUAAAUUGUUGCUUUCAUCUGUUUUGGAAAAUUCUUAGCCAUCAUCUCUUUAAAUAUUGUAAUAUUCUCAUCCUCCUUUUCUCUGGGAUGCCCAUUUACAUGUAUAUGUAAUUAGACCUUUUCUUGUAUCCACGUUAUUUCUUGCCCUUCCCUCUGUCUCAU
This 462-nucleotide long non-coding RNA is filed under the name Pan troglodytes (chimpanzee). RNAcentral's name for it is "long non-coding RNA NONPTRT002995". The record is from RNAcentral. Lineage: Eukaryota; Metazoa; Chordata; Mammalia; Primates; Hominidae.